This is a long non-coding RNA of Oncorhynchus tshawytscha (Chinook salmon), 1453 nucleotides long. NCBI's taxonomy places the organism in Eukaryota, Metazoa, Chordata, Actinopteri, Salmoniformes, Salmonidae. The record is from Ensembl.
UAUUCGGGUGCAGAGACGCAGAGUGAGGGACAGCAUGAUUCGUGUUAACCCGAGGGCGGCUGCCCUCAGAGCCAUGUCGCAGAGGCUACAUAGAAGGUCAUACCGUGUUCCUGGACCAAACUCGUUAUGGCACCUUGAUGGAAACCACAAACUGAUAAGGUGGAGGAUAGUCAUACAUGGUGGCAUUGAUGGGUUGCAGCCGCCGUGUUUCUCCGUGCUUCCAGCAACAAUCGCAGCAGUACUGUAUUGGAUUGCUUCAUGAAUGCUGUCUCCAGAUAUGGCGUUCCCUCCAGAGUUAGAACGGACCAUGGAGGAGAAAACAACACUGUCUGCUUGUUGAAUACUACUUCUACAAACGAGGCUACACUUGUGGCAGCACCUAUUCCUUUGGCACCCCAUCUUCUGCACUUCUUGUCGCCCCCCUCCACCUAUACCACUUUCUGUGGCCCCUCCACCAUUCCCCGAGGCUUAUCGUCCACCUUCACCACACUUUUCUGUUGGUGUUGGUGAUGACAAUGAGUAAGUCAUCCCUGUAAAUAAUGAAAUGUCUUGUUAUUACAGAUGAAUUGUGGGAAGUAUCUGAGCUUUGUUAUUCUGAAUGUCUCUUUUAGUGUUGACCUCCAAACACUGCUGAAGUUAAUGAGAUGCCAACCAAAUGAAUGUGAUGAUGGACAAUGUUUAUGAUUGCGCAAUGAGAGGCUUUAAGAGAGCCCACUUUAAUCCGGAAGCAAAGGUAUACAUGGUUUUUAGGGAUGCUGACGGAAAAGGGGCAGCUGAUGAGGGUGGUCCCUCAAGAGAAUUUCUCUGGCUGCUAAUGAGUGCCAUCCAUUCCUCUGCAAUAUUUGAGGGACCUGAUUGACAAAAAUGCCUUUCUUGAAACUCUCAAGCAACAUGGGGGUGUAGAGACACAUUUUUUCAGAGAGGCUAUACAGGCAAGUGUGUGGCCUACAACCUCCUGUGCCAGAACUGAAAUAAUUUGCAGAAUAUGACUUCAGACAGAAGUUGGAGAAGUUCAAUAAACAAUCUAAGAUCCAGUUAGCACAAACUGUUGACGAGGCACAGGAAGUGGUCAUGUUGGGUCCAGUGCGAUACAUUCGUACAUUGGAGAGGGAUGCCCUGGUGGAGUCAGCCACAAAGUUCUACUUAGAAAGCAGGAUACGGGAUGCUCUUGAGCAAUUCAAAGAGGGUCUGGAGUGUCUAGGUCUCCUGUCUUACAUGAAUAGACACUCAAGCCUCUUCAGAGAGGUUUUCAUCUAUGCUGAGAAACCUCUUUUGGCCAAAGACAUAGCUUCUCUCUUCCACGCAGAGCGCUCCCCACCUGGUACCAAUCAAAGUUUUCAAAAACAUUACAAACAACCAGAAUCAAUUGGACACAGUAAUACAUGAUGCAGCUUUAAUAUUUAAAUAAAUGUAUGAUUUCUUAGUGGGUAAUAAAGGUAAAUAAAGAGCAAUA